RNAcentral lists this long non-coding RNA (865 nucleotides) under Felis catus (domestic cat). RNAcentral describes it as "lncRNA (ENSFCAG00000053009.1)". The record is from RNAcentral. Lineage: Eukaryota; Metazoa; Chordata; Mammalia; Carnivora; Felidae.
GAGCGCUCGCCUUUCUUCCCCCUGGUUUUGUUCUCACAGCUGUGUCCAUUCCGCCCGUGACCCCCCGAGUGAUCCCUGACAGGUUCUGCUUCCGACACCCCACCCCGCAGGUCCAUUUACAGACCUCCUCCUUUUUGGUUGGACUGACCUCCAGCAAAGGGUUUGCAAGCCCCCCAACACUGCCACUGGCUGCGGGGAGGCCACAGGACUUAGGGCUACGUCCUCUGGGAGGUGAGUGCUGGGGACCAGAGGGCGGGCGGGGACCUGCAGACUCCGGAGGAGCAACCCCUGGGCCCUCCUCAUCAGCUCUUGGGGGUCCACCCAUCUUCCCAGCACCGCUGACCCAGGCGCCAGGGGCCUCAGCCGUUUCAGGGCUGGAGUUGGCCGUUCUCCGGACCCUGGAAGGAGGGUGAAUUAAGUCCUACGUUUUAUGUAACCAUGCCUGCCUUUCUCCGAGGCUGAAGAACACAGAGACAUUCCAUUUCAGAGAAAAAAGGACCACACAAUGGCCCUCUUUGAGGGGAGGUUAAACAUUCACAUUGGGGAAAAAUAGCUAAUCCUUUACUAGCCCAGCUCACCUAUUUUGCUCUUUAUCUCCAGCCUGUGAGUUAGGAAAGGCAGAUGUCCGUUUUACAGAGGAAGAAACCGAGGCACAGAUGAAUGACCGAUGUGGGCCCACACUCCCAGGACAUCACCCUGUGACAAGGCAGAGGUGUGUGACCUUGACCCCAGGUGGGAUAUUGAUUACUUUUUUUACCUUGAGUUUUGUCGCAGUCCUGGAAGAUCAGGUGCCCACAGCUAGGAAUUUGUAAAAAACACUUUGUUCUCAGGCCUUUCUGAGAAAUUUACUCUGAGAGACCGAGCU